RNAcentral lists this non-coding RNA (28 nucleotides) under Rattus norvegicus (Norway rat). The record is from RNAcentral. Lineage: Eukaryota; Metazoa; Chordata; Mammalia; Rodentia; Muridae.
UGCACAUAGUGACUGAAGUGGGAUGGGA